AUCGGACGCUGGCGGCAUGCCUUACACAUGCAAGUCGAACGGUAACAGGUCUUCGGAUGCUGACGAGUGGCGAACGGGUGAGUAAUACAUCGGAACGUGCCUAGUAGUGGGGGAUAACUACUCGAAAGAGUGGCUAAUACCGCAUGAGAUCUACGGAUGAAAGCAGGGGAUCGCAAGACCUUGUGCUACUAGAGCGGCCGAUGGCAGAUUAGGUAGUUGGUGGGAUAAAAGCUUACCAAGCCGACGAUCUGUAGCUGGUCUGAGAGGACGAUCAGCCACACUGGGACUGAGACACGGCCCAGACUCCUACGGGAGGCAGCAGUGGGGAAUUUUGGACAAUGGGCGAAAGCCUGAUCCAGCAAUGCCGCGUGCAGGAUGAAGGCCUUCGGGUUGUAAACUGCUUUUGUACGGAACGAAAAGCCCUGGGUUAAUACCCUGGGGUCAUGACGGUACCGUAAGAAUAAGCACCGGCUAACUACGUGCCAGCCGCCGCCGUAA
Molecule: ribosomal RNA, 498 nt
Filed under: uncultured bacterium
Lineage: Bacteria
Description: partial 16S ribosomal RNA
Rfam family: Bacterial small subunit ribosomal RNA
Source: RNAcentral